Molecule: small nuclear RNA, 170 nt
Organism: Electrophorus electricus (electric eel)
Lineage: Eukaryota; Metazoa; Chordata; Actinopteri; Gymnotiformes; Gymnotidae
Gene: U2
Rfam family: U2 spliceosomal RNA
About the family: U2 is a small nuclear RNA (snRNA) component of the spliceosome (involved in pre-mRNA splicing). Complementary binding between U2 snRNA (in an area lying towards the 5' end but 3' to hairpin I) and the branchpoint sequence (BPS) of the intron results the bulging out of an unpaired adenosine, on the BPS, which initiates a nucleophilic attack at the intronic 5' splice site, thus starting the first of two transesterification reactions that mediate splicing.
Source: Ensembl
AUCGCUUCUCGGCCUUUUGGCUAAGAUCAAGUGUAUUAUCAGUGGAUUUUUACUACGGAUUUACACGGAUUUUACGCUGAAGAGAAUUGCUGCGCUUGGGCUUUUUUUAUAGCUUUUAGCGAGGCCAAGGGUGAUCCCAGGUGCAGAUCCGGGAGGCUUGUCCUCCGUUU